Molecule: ribosomal RNA, 321 nt
Filed under: uncultured eukaryote
Lineage: Eukaryota
Description: partial 18S ribosomal RNA
Rfam family: Eukaryotic small subunit ribosomal RNA
Source: RNAcentral
CCCUUAGAUGUUCUGGGCCGCACGCGCGCUACACUGAUCGGUGCAACAAGCAUCCGUCCUUGGCCGACAGGCCCGGGCAAUCUUUGAACGCCGGUCGUGAUGGGGAUAGACCUUUGCAAUUUUUGGUCUUCAACGAGGAAUUCCUAGUAAACGCAAGUCAUCAGCUUGCAUUGAUUACGUCCCUGCCCUUUGUACACACCGCCCGUCGCACCUACCGAUUGAAUGGUCCGGUGAAAUCUCGGGACGGCGGCUUGGUCGCUUGCGUCCGACUGCUGAAACUUGAUUAAACCAUAUCAUUUAGAGGAAGGUGAAGUCGUAACA